This 230-nucleotide long non-coding RNA is filed under the name Phoenix dactylifera (date palm). RNAcentral's name for it is "long non-coding RNA (PDAC_LNC000139)". The record is from RNAcentral. Lineage: Eukaryota; Viridiplantae; Streptophyta; Magnoliopsida; Arecales; Arecaceae.
AGCGGUGAUAUAGUGGUUGAUGUCAUUUUUUCAUGCGAAAGAUACAACCCGAACUCGGCACCUAAACUUAGGGAUGGCAAUCGGAUCGAGUCGGAUCAGAUAUAGGUUGGGUUGGAUGUGGGUCAGAUCAAAAAUUGAUCAACCCAAAUCCGACCUAUUUAUUAAACGGUCAAAAUUUCAAAUAUGAAGUCGACCUAUUUUUUAAGCAGGCAACCCAACUCGACCAUAUA